CGGCGGACCCUGCGUAGCUCCAUUACUCUCUGACAGGCCGUAUUAACGGCCACGAUUCUGCUCCACUCCCUGCGGUGGAUUCUGUGCGAUUCCACCACUCCCUGAUGAGUCACGACAGCGGACGCCGCUCCACUCCCCGUAACUGAUUCCACGUGGCGAGCCACGGCGAUAGCCACGAUCCCGCUCCACUGCCCUCCGCAAUAAAUUUCUCCUGACUCUGGG
RNAcentral lists this long non-coding RNA (222 nucleotides) under Elaeis guineensis (African oil palm). Its description in RNAcentral is "long non-coding RNA (EGUI_LNC082565)". Lineage: Eukaryota; Viridiplantae; Streptophyta; Magnoliopsida; Arecales; Arecaceae. The record is from RNAcentral.